RNAcentral lists this unclassified non-coding RNA (213 nucleotides) under plant metagenome. RNAcentral's name for it is "partial contains small subunit ribosomal RNA, internal transcribed spacer 1, and 5.8S ribosomal RNA". The record is from RNAcentral.
UCUCCGUAGGUGAACCUGCGGAGGGAUCACUACAGGCUUGCAAAAGCUCUGAAACCGCUGUUUAUCUACCUGAAUCUGCCUCGGCGGGCGGCCCCCGGGCGGGGCCGUAGCCGCAAGGCGCCCGCCGAAGACCCCUAAACUCUGUCGUCUUGAGAAUCUCUGAGUAAUUAUAUUAAACAAAAACAACUUUCAACAACGGAUCUCUUGGCUCUG